Molecule: ribosomal RNA, 552 nt
Filed under: uncultured beta proteobacterium
Lineage: Bacteria; Pseudomonadati; Pseudomonadota; Betaproteobacteria
Description: bacterial SSU rRNA
Rfam family: Bacterial small subunit ribosomal RNA
Source: RNAcentral
UAGUGGGGGAUAGCCCGGCGAAAGCCGGAUUAAUACCGCAUACGAUCUACGGAUGAAAGCGGGGGACCUUCGGGCCUCGCGCUAUAGGGUUGGCCGAUGGCUGAUUAGCUAGUUGGUGGGGUAAAGGCCUACCAAGGCGACGAUCAGUAGCUGGUCUGAGAGGACGACCAGCCACACUGGGACUGAGACACGGCCCAGACUCCUACGGGAGGCAGCAGUGGGGAAUUUUGGACAAUGGGCGAAAGCCUGAUCCAGCAAUGCCGCGUGUGUGAAGAAGGCCUUCGGGUUGUAAAGCACUUUUGUCCGGAAAGAAAUCCUUGGUUCUAAUAUAGCCGGGGGAUGACGGUACCGGAAGAAUAAGCACCGGCUAACUACGUGCCAGCAGCCGCGGUAAUACGUAGGGUGCGAGCGUUAAUCGGAAUUACUGGGCGUAAAGCGUGCGCAGGCGGUUUGCUAAGACCGAUGUGAAAUCCCCGGGCUCAACCUGGGAACUGCAUUGGUGACUGGCAGGCUAGAGUAUGGCAGAGGGGGGUAGAAUUCCACGUGUAGCAG